UAGGCUUAGGCUUAGGCUUAAGCCUAGGCUUAUGCUUAGGGCUAAGGCUUCGGAUUAAGCCUAGGCUAAGGCUUCGGCUUAAGCCUAGGCUUAUGCUUAGGCUUAGGCGUAGGCUCAG
This is a non-coding RNA of Caenorhabditis elegans, 118 nucleotides long. The record is from Ensembl. Lineage: Eukaryota; Metazoa; Nematoda; Chromadorea; Rhabditida; Rhabditidae.